ACAACCAUGAGGGAUUUAUACAUCUUGUGUAGUACUCCAGCUACUGCAGCUGUUACAGGAUAAGGGGAAGCCACAGUUUGAGGAGGGGAGGGCACACUGCUUUCCGUAUUUCAGGCUACCUAAGAAUUCAAGCAGGAAUGCAAGGAAUCUCCAGAAUAUGACAGAGGAAAACAAUGCACAUCGAUAGAUGUCCUAUGAGCAUAUAUGGCCCAUUGCAAAGUUGAGACAUUGAUGAAAGGGACAGGUCAUUAUUUUCCGUAUCCUCAGUGAAUGAUGGGCUUCUCUGUUGAUACAAGUUUUGACAUGUCAGCCUUCUUCUGUUUACUGUUACAGAUUGCUAAUGUUUUAUAUGGUCGCGUAGUUCAAUAAUGUGAUGGACUUCUGCAAAGUUACUGCUGUCACUUUUGCUGAUGCUGUUGUAUCCUCACUGAUGCCAUACACUGUAGGCACUCAUCUUGGUCAUAAUCCAGAGUGUUCUCCCAUAGGUUUAUUGCAAGUCGUGAGCACUACCUGUGAUACGCAUUUCCCGCUAUCUUACUCAAGAGGGCUGAGCUGAGAUGCUCGUUUCAACUGCUUAAGUUAUUUUCUCUUUACCUAGUGCUCAUGCAGGUCAUACAUUUUUGCCGCCAAUCCUUUUCCACAAUUAGAAAAGAAGAGGGUACAGAGGUUUCUCUACUUCAGGCUACCUAACAGGUCAAGCAGGAAUGUCAAGAAUCUGCUGCAUAUGAGGAAAAUACAGACAGUUCAAGGACUAGGGACUUUGAUAUGAAAGUUGCAGUGGGCACUAGGGUUCAGGGAAGUGCCCCCAUUCCCUUUUUCCCUUCCCUCACAGUACAUUUGGAGUACCAUGACUGGAGGACACAGGACAACAUUGCACAUCCACAGAUGUCAUACGAGCAUACAUGGCCCACUGGCAAAUGUCAGGCAUGAAUGAUGGGGACAGGUUGUUAUUUUCCAUUUUCCCAGUGUGUGGUGGACUUGUCUGUUGGUGAAGGCAUUGCUGCCUCAGCCUUCUUCUGUGUAUUACUUUAGGCCUGUAAAAAAUGGCCACAGAGGUAGGUGACCCUUCACUCAAUUAUACUGUUACAUAGUACUAUAAUGUGGAGAACUUCUGCAAAGUUACUACUGUUGCUUUUGCUGAUGCUGUUGUAUCCACACGAAUGGGAUGCACUGUAUGCCCUCAUCUUGGUCAUAAUCCAGGGUGUUCUCCAAUAGCUUUAUUUCAAGUCUUGAGCACUGCCUCUGAUACGCAUUUCCCGCUAUCAUUCUCAGGAGGGCUGAGCUGAGAUGCUGGUUUCAACUGCUUAAGUUAUUUUCUCUUUACUUAGUUCUCAUGCAGGCCAAACAUUUUUGCUGUCAAUCCUUUUCCACAAUUUGAGCAGGGGAGGGCACAGGGUUUCCCUGCUUCAGGCUACCUAACAGGUCAAGCAGACAUGUCAAGAAUCUCCUGCAUAUGAGGAAAAUACAGACAGUUCAGAGGACUAGGGACUUUGAUGUGAUAGUUACAGUGGGCAUUAGGGUUCAGCGAAGUGCCUCCUGUCCCUUUUCCUCUUCCCUGACAGUACCUUUGGAGCAACAUGGCUGGAGGACACAGGACAACAAUGCAUAUCGACCGAUGUGACAUGAACAUACAUGGCCCAGUGGCAAACAUCAGAAAUGGAUGAUGGGGACAGAUUCUUAUUUUCCCUUUUUCCGGUGACUGGUGGGCUUGUCUGCUGGUGAAGGCGUUGUGCCUCAGCCUUCUUCUGUUUAUUGCUUUAGGCCUUUGAAAAAUGGCUACAGACGUACGAGGCCAUUCACCCUAUUAUAUUGUAAUAUAAUACUAUAAUGUGGAGGACUUCUGAAAAGUUACUGCUGUUGCUUUUGCUGAUGCUUUUGUAUCCUCAUCGAUGCAAUGCACUGUGUGCCUUCAUCUUGGUGAUAAUCCAGGGUGUUUUCCCAUAGCUUCAUUGCAAUCUUGAGCACUGCCUGUGAUAUGCAUUUCCCGCUAUCUUUCUCAGGAGGGCUAAGCUGAGAUGUUGGUUUCAACUGCUUAAGUUAUUUUCUCUUUACCUAGUUCUCAUGCAGGCCAUACAUUUUUGCAGCCAAUCCUUUUCCACAAUGUAAGAAGAGGAGGGCACAGGGGAUUUCCCUAGUUCAGGCUACCUAACAGGUCAAGCAGGAAUGUCAAGAAUCUCCUGCAUAUGAGGAAAAUACAGACAGUUCAGAAGACAAGGGUAUUUGAUGGGAAAGUUGCAGAGGGCAUUAGGGUUCAGCGAAGUGCCUCCUGUCCCGUAUCCCCUGACCUUACAGUACCUUUGGAGCAGCAUGGCUAGAGGACACAGGACAACAAUGCAUAUCGACUGAUGUGAUAUGAGCAUACAUGGUCUACUGGCAAACGUCACACAUGGAUGAUGGGGACAGGUUGUUAUUUUCCGUUUUCCCAGUGAGUGGUGGCCUUGUCUGUUGGUGAAGGCGUUGCUGCCUCAGCCUUCUUCUGUGUAUUGCUUUAAGCCUGUGAAAAAUGGCCACAGAGGUAGGUGGCGCUUCUCCCUCUUAUAUUGUUACAUAGUGCUAUAAUGUGGAGGACUUCUGCAAAGUUACUGUUGUUACUUUUGCUGAUGCUGUUGUAUCCUCACUGAUAGGCUGUAUACCCUCAUCUUGUUAAUAAUCCAGGGUGUUCUCUUGUAGCUUUAUUGGCAUUCUGGACACUGCCUGUGAUGUGCAUUUCCUUCUAUGUUUCUCAGGAGGGCUGAGCUGAGGUUCUAGUUUCAACUGCUUAAGUUUCCUCUUUACCUUGUUCUCAUGCCUGCCAAUUAUUUUGGCUGCCUGUCCCCUUUUAUUCAUGAUUGUAAAAUUGGCAAGAGGCUUACUUAGCUUUCAAAAAGAUUUGCAUGCUUUGCAAAGAAGCAGAGGAAGAAUUUACAAGUUUUCCAAAGUAAAUCUUCUUAAAAAAGGGAAUUGUUAGGUCUAUUCUUUUUUCACCAGGGAGAUUUAAACUUUUAUUUCUUAUUUUCCUUUGUAUUUGCCCUUUCAACAUGCUGCCAUGUGAUACCAGUUCCCCCAAUUUGCCCUUCACAAUGAUGACUCCUGUGUCCUUGCUCAAGCCAGGCAUGUGCAGAGAAGUUCCUCAUGUGGGACUUGUGCAAACAGGACCUCAAGGACAAAUAAUAAUUAUGAGCACUUGCCCAUUUUCUAGCCUGUGCAUGCUUUUACCCAUACCAGUGUUUUUAUGAAGGGUUCUUUAUAACCAGUUGGAGUAAGGAAUCAAACCAUUAGCCUUGUUUACAGAUGGCUUAAAUUGACAUGUUGAUGUCAAUGGUCUGUUGACAAGUGGGGCUGUACAAUUUAUCUCAUAUCCUCCUGUCCUUGAGUCCUAAAUGAGCAGAGGUUUGGUUUCCUGUAGUAGACAGACAUUUACUUUGUAUGACUUGUUAUAUCCACCACCUGAUAGAAUUUUUGGCUGUAGAUGAGGACCCAGUUCCUCUCUUCUGGAUAUUUAGUGCAUGGGCCUCUCCAAAAGGUAUGAAAGAAUGUGCAAAAUGUAUGCACUCCCAUACAGUUUGAAUCAGUUCCUCCAGAUCCCUCUGGAUUGGAGUUUGUCCUCUCAGCCCAUUGUGCUGACUCCAGUCAUGCAGUAUAUGGAUUGCUGACAGCUGCCAGGGUGGCCACCCAACAGUUUAGAUUUGUGUUGGUCUUCUGAGCUUUCUUUGUACCUUCGUAUUCACAUGCAAACCUAGUGUAGUGCUGCUUAAUUUGAGAAAAGAAUAGCAGUGGGCUGUAUUCAGUGAAUCCUAGUGGGAUUCAUGGAUUUUCCCAGUCUCCCCAUCAGUCAGACAUGAUGCCUUACAGAAUGCUAGAAAGGCCUGUUGUAGACUCCACUCCAGUGUCAGCUUGGACUACUAGUUCUGCAGUCAACAUGCUGAUCUACAGGAUGUGGAAUAUAAUUUAAGCCAGAAAACAAGCACCUGUGCUUCUCCAAAGUCCAGAAAUGGUGGAUCUGGGAACCUGGGGUUAGAGGUAAGCAUAGAACUUUUUAUGAUUACAGAUGAAUUCUCCUCACCAAAUGUUUUUAGAUUUUAGAACGCAAGGAAAGGAGAAUGGUUCUC
RNAcentral lists this long non-coding RNA (4088 nucleotides) under Pan troglodytes (chimpanzee). RNAcentral describes it as "long non-coding RNA NONPTRT018528". The record is from RNAcentral. Lineage: Eukaryota; Metazoa; Chordata; Mammalia; Primates; Hominidae.